This 440-nucleotide ribosomal RNA is filed under the name uncultured bacterium. Its description in RNAcentral is "partial 16S ribosomal RNA". It matches the Rfam family "Bacterial small subunit ribosomal RNA", at positions 338 to 795 of the family's 1533-position model. The record is from RNAcentral.
CCUACGGGUGGCAGCAGUGGGGAAUAUUGCACAAUGGGGGAAACCCUGAUGCAGCGACGCCGCGUGAGUGAAGAAGUAAUUCGUUAUGUAAAGCUCUAUCAGCAGGGAAGAAAAUGACGGUACCUGAGUAAGAAGCCCCGGCUAACUACGUGCCAGCAGCCGCGGUAAUACGUAGGGGGCAAGCGUUAUCCGGAUUUAUUGGGUGUAAAGGGCGUGUAGGCGGGAAAGCAAGUCAGAUGUGAAAACUCAGGGCUCAACCCUGAGCCUGCAUUUGAAACUGUUGAACUAGAUUGCAGGAGAGGUAAGUGGAAUUCCUAGUGUAGCGGUGAAAUGCGUAGAUAUUAGGAGGAACACCAGUGGCGAAGGCGGCUUACUGGACUGUAAAUGACGCUGAGGCUCGAAAGCGUGGGGAGCAAACAGGAUUAGAUACCCCAGUAGUC